GCUUGUCUCAAAGAUUAAGCCAUGCAUGUCUAAGUAUAAACAACUUUGUACUGUGAAACUGCGAAUGGCUCAUUAAAUCAGUUAUAGUUUAUUUGAUAGUACCUUACUACUUGGAUAACCGUAGUAAUUCUAGAGCUAAUACAUGCGAAAAGACCCGACUUUUUGGAAGGGUUGCAUUUAUUAGAUACAAAACCAAUGGCCAGCAAUGGUCACCCUUGGUGAUUCAUAAUAACUUUUGCGGAUCGCAUGGCCUUGCGCCGGCGACGAAUCAUUCAAAUUUCUGCCCUAUCAACUUUCGAUGGUAAGGUAUUGGCCUACCAUGGUUACAACGGGUAACGGGGAAUUAGGGUUCGGUUCCGGAGAGGGCGCCUGAGAAAUGGCGACCACAUCCAAGGAAGGCAGCAGG
RNAcentral lists this ribosomal RNA (406 nucleotides) under uncultured Salpingoecidae. RNAcentral's name for it is "partial small subunit ribosomal RNA". It matches the Rfam family "Eukaryotic small subunit ribosomal RNA", at positions 30 to 432 of the family's 1831-position model. Lineage: Eukaryota; Choanoflagellata; Craspedida; Salpingoecidae. The record is from RNAcentral.